UUAUCUAAAUGUCAAACUGUUCCUUUAAGAGAAAUUUCAGCAUCACAACAGUGAGUUUUUAUACGUUUAGGUAAAUGUGUGCAGUGGAAUAAAUACAUUAAGAGAGAUGCAUGAAAGAGGAUAAAGCUGCAAGUCAUGUGGACGGACCGGUUUCAUUGUCUGACUUUCCUCCAUAACUCUCUGUGCUCAGCUGCCAAACUCCUGUCAGUCAGACCACACCUGCCUGUCAUCAGAUCCUGAGCUGCUGGUCAGGAUGGCGUGCAGGCGAGAGCGCUCGACAUCGUCAGACAGGUGAGGAGAGGAGGCCAGGUCCACACCUGGAGCACACAGGCUGAAGAAGCUUAAACUGAGAUCACUCCUGACUCCUGCUGCCUGAAAACACACUGAACAGUUCCCGUCCUUCCUCUCAGACGGACCGCAGCACUGUUUUAAUGAAGACUCUUCUGUCUUUCUGGAUUCGACCACUAGCAUCAUCAUUAAUGACCAAAGCCCCGGCCAGGAAAGCAGCUGUCCUACAGCAGUGAACGUGUGCAGGUGUGUUCAUCCUUGAAGCGUGAUGUCACUCCGUCCCUCCCCAGUUAUCCAAUCAGAGACGCAUGAUGUCAUCGAGGUCAUCAGGAUCGGCACUGGUGACCGCGGCACCUGAGGUCAGCCAGCGCUGGACGAGAGGAGAGGAACCUGCAAGGGAAGGGUUAUUCUUUAUUUCUGUAUACUCCGUAAUACACAACACCAGCUUCCUCCUGAACCCGCCUCCGUCUAAUACAAGUGAAUGGGUGUGAAGAGAACCAAUAAAACAACGGGAUUCAUUGGCUGAAUAGCCAAUCAGGAGCUCACACGGGGAGCCUGUCACUGUUUGUAUUUCUAUCAAUAAGUAUAGCUCAUUGAUAGAGAAGCAGAGACUUUUAGCUCUAAUAUUUGUGUUAUCGAUACGAGGGAGACACUCUGUGGUGCUUUCAGCUCCGACUUCGUUGAACUUCUUGUUUACAUCUACAGUAGCCUCGUUAGGACAAACCUAUCCAUUAUCACUUAUCAUUUCCAACUCCACUGGUUCAGUCAAGCAGGUGGAGACAAUGUGACAAAAAAGUAGUGAUCAAUAACAAGAUGGCUGCUAGCUAAACUGCAGGCUGUUGCCACUUUUUAUAUGCAUUGCUACAGAAGCAGUGGGCCUUUAAGCAAGACAAUAUUUUUUAUUAUGUUUAUGAAAAACAAAAAAAAUGAAUGUACAUUUAGCAUGAUGUUGAAUUUGAAUGUUGGAAUUUAAAUAAACUUUUUUUUCUCCAAGUCUUCUAGAGGAUUUUUCUGAUUUGUGAGAAAAGACACAAACUAAGUUAAGUAGCCAAGUUGAGCUGUAGGAUGUUUUCUGAUUCAGUUGUUUAGUAAAUAGUUUGGAGUCAAAGCUCAGUGCACCGAGUUAGACAACAGCAUUGUUCGAGUGUAAGCAGAAGCUCCACUGACAGAUAUACUAUAUGUUAGACAUCAUGCCGAUAAACCUUCUGACAGUCAAGUCGUACUUUACACGCCACUAGAGGUCACUGUCAGAUAAACAUUGGUCAUUUUUAGGCAUUUAAACAAA
Molecule: long non-coding RNA, 1573 nt
Organism: Siniperca chuatsi (mandarin fish)
Lineage: Eukaryota; Metazoa; Chordata; Actinopteri; Centrarchiformes; Sinipercidae
Exons: 4
Source: RefSeq, a predicted model, not a curated record